Molecule: long non-coding RNA, 3757 nt
Organism: Drosophila teissieri
Lineage: Eukaryota; Metazoa; Arthropoda; Insecta; Diptera; Drosophilidae
Exons: 2
Source: RefSeq, a predicted model, not a curated record
CGCUGUUUUCGUGUUUGUUUUGUUUUCAUUUUCUUGAUCUGCUUAACUGUGAUUUUGGGUAUUGCUUUGUUUUGUGUUCUUAUGAGUAAAUUAUGUUUAGAUUUACGGUAAAUGCUAUUUUUUCUUUUGCCAGGGUUGCCAUAUGAGUGUAUUAUCAGUCGAAUAUUCAUAUUCCAAAUUGGUCUCCCAAGAGUGGUUCAAAUGCUGAAAAAUUAAAAGCAAUUUUAAAUGAUGUUAAACUGAGAAUUGAAGAAUCCGGCGCUGCAGCGGUGAGUUCGGGUGGGUGUCUUCUUUGUUCAGCCAGAGCUGAGGUCGAGUGGGUGUGUUCUUCUCAGGCGUCUGACUGUUCUACUGUUGUCCAGUAGGUUUAUUGCCAGGUGGUUAGGGGGUUUUCCAUACUGCUUGCGUACCUUGCGUUGAGCCUUCUGAUCUCGCCUAGUACUGGUGAGAUGCCUAGUUCGGUGGGAUGCCUAGUUUCGUGGUACGGGUGUACGUCAGAGACAAUCCUCAGGCAUUUGUUCUGGAACCGCUGUAUUCUUAGGCGGUUUGAAAGUCUUGCCGUACCCCUCAGCUGUAUCCCGUUGGUCCAGAUCGGCUUUGGUAUUGUAUUGUGUAUUGUCUGAAGUUUUGUGUUUUGCUUAAGUUUUGACGUUCUUCCGAUUAACCAAAGAUUCUGUUUCAGGCCCAAAUCAGCCUGGUUGCGCUUAUCGAUGUGGUGGGGACGAGUGAGCCUGCGAUCCAGGGUCAGCCCUAUGUACUUGGGUGUGGGUACAUUUGGAAUGGUGUCUCCGGUUAGAAAGACAGGAGGUUAUUCUCCUCUGCGCAGAGCGAAAGUAGAUUGGGAGGAUUUUUCAGGGUUCACUUCUAUGUUCUAGCGUUGCAACCAAGGACCUAUUGCAUCCAGUUGACUUUGUCUUUUUGGCUUUUUCGGGGACAGAGGUGUCGUCAGCGUAUGUGGCAAUAGUUAAGUUUCUGGGAAGUUAAGUGGGAAGGUCUGAGGUAUAGAGAAUGGGUCCAAGGAUGUGGUACUCCGGCUCUAAUGAGCAUUGGCGAGCUUGUUGAGCUUCCACAUCUAGCUUGGAAUACUCUAUUCUCCGUGUAGGAUUUAAGACGGUCAUAGUGGAACUGGGAAGCCGGGACUUGAUUUUGUAAUGGAGUCCAGGGUAACACAUUUUGUCAAACACGGUUUUACGCCAGGCAUUCCGACACGGCAAUAUUUCUACUUCUCGAAUGCUUCCAGUAUUCGCUCAACGAGUCGGUGACAUUGCUCAGGCGUUCCGUGGAAGAACAAAACUGUCUAAUGAGACAGCAUUAAGAAAAAAGAAUACUUAGGAAUGCUACUGUCAAGUCCUUCAGGGAUCGUAAUCAAAAAGGAGACAUUUCUGAAAUAUAUAUUUAUGUCGGGGCGAAAAUAAUGUUUAUGCGCGUAGUCGCUAUUUACUUCUUCUCCAUGUUCCUUCUGCUGUUAUGCGUGUUCCUAUUCAUUGUCAAUGUGUGAGGAUGAGUAGAUGAAUUAUCUAUAAACGGGACUCUGCUAGAAUAAGAGCGAUAAAGCUGUUGCCGACCGUGGCCACUUGCGCUACUUGGAUUAGAGUGAGAAAGAGACAUAAUGAAAAGGUAAUGUCAAAAAUUGGGAAGACAAAAAGCAGUCUGUACGAAACGACACAUUAACCGUUGAGAAGCCAAAGUAGACGCAAGUGGACUCGUUAAACGCGAGGCCCCAUCGCCAUGGUGAUAGUUUGGCUGAAGCUGACCAGCGUAACCUUUAUUCUCGGCGUGGAGUGGACGCUGAGUUAUGUUGUUCCAACUUUAAAUCAUUUCGCAUCUAAUUCAGUCAUUUAUAUUAUUGUCUGGAUAUUCUGCGUGUCUGGUGUGCUUUACAAUUUAAACGAAGCUGUUGAAUUUUCCGGCGGGAGGUUGGGCAUGCGUCCAAAGAGGAUGGGGCGGCCACCAUUUCAAAGACGCUGUUGGCAAAUCGCGGAAUCCCAAUAAAUCUCAAGGUCAAACAAUGUCCAUGUGUGGCUUAGAUUUGGAAAAUCCAUGUUUUUCUCAUGGGCAACUAUAUGUUGCGUGUUCACGUGUUGGGAAACCAUCGAAUCUAUUUGUUUUAGCUAAAGACAGGUUAACCAAAAACAUUGUGCACCGAUUGGUGUUAAAUUAAAUUGAAAUUGAAAGUAUUUAUAUUUUAAAAAAUAGAUAUUAAUGUUUAAAAGUUUAAGACUGUCUGCCUUGCCUACCUCAUUCAUGAGUUUGAGCGUCACAUAUUAUUUGCUGUAUUAUACUGUAAUAUAUACCUAUUUGUUAUAAAAUUAAAUGGAAAUAAUCAAUCUGAUAAAUGUUUAUUGUGUAUUGAUUUCUGCUUAAUAUCGUGGCAGAGCCUCGACAGAAUUCUGCUUGACUUUGGUGUUUGAAAAUUUGCUAGAAAAAGCCUGUGAGAUUUGUUUUUGUUAUUCGAACUCUGGCGAGGAAAAAUAAGGGAAAGGAAUUUUGGUACUGAAGGGUAGUUUAAUAGUUAAAUUUUAAUGACAAUUCUUGAUUAUUUCUCCUCACUUAAACUCCUCGUGGCUAUAUCUUCAACUUCAAUUUUUCAUCUGUUUUUGUUCUAUUCUCUCUUUUUUUUUCUAAUUCCUAUCUGCCACUCGUUCGCUAGUACGAGUUGGCAGCCUAGCGCCUAGCCUUGUCAGUGUUUCAUUCCCUGCCUUUCAGUCAGUCAAAAGUCAGUCGUGUAAAAACAUCUUCGCAAUGCAUUUAGUCUUGUAUAUUAUGGUCUGCAUAUUAUGCGUGUGUGGUGUGGUGAGUAAAUGGAAAUUCCUUUACUUGGCAAAGGACUCACCUCUAACUCGCAGGUUUACAAUGUAAACGAAGCUUUCGAAUUUUCCAACGGGACGUUGGGCAUUCGUCCAAGGAGGUUGGGGCGGACCGCUGCAGAAAGACGGACCAUUGAAAUCACUGAAUCCUAUUUAUUAAUCGUAACGUGGGUACUAUUAGUGCACACUUGGGCAUCGGUGAGUACUGAGAACCUUAAAAUAUAUGCAUAUAUAUUAAAAUAUGUAUAUAAGGUAAAAUGAAAAUAAGUAGGCAGGGCCAAAAAUGAAAUCAGCAAAAAGGGUUAAAACCAGCGAAAUAAGAUGGAGUGGGGGAAAUUAAGCAGCCCGACUAUAGAACAAUAAGCGAGUAAAAGGAUACAAAGAUAACAAAGGAUGGGAAUAACAAUAAUGUGGACAAAUAAGUGCAAGUGGAACUGCUCAAGAAGUAGAGCUAUGUUUAAGGUUAAAUUGGGCGAUAUGUCCCCUUUGAAGUGCCUUAGUCCUUUUGGUGGAUGAGUGAAAGAAAAAUAGUAUACAAUUGGUCACUUUACUUAUAAAAAGAUUCAACAGCGGGAGUAGUUGGCCAUGAUUUAAUGCCCUAAUCUUGUCAGUGUUUCAUUCCCUGCCUUUCAGUCAGUCAGUCAGUGCCCUUUCGUGUGAUCGUAAAACUCCCAACAUCUUGUAUUAAUUUUUUCAAUCUCAUUGUUCCAGCACUCCGGUGGAGGACUUGGAGAACGCGGAGGAGCUGUCCGCUGCUUUUGCGGACAUAAGCAUGUUGCGCCCCAGCGGAUCCCGCGGAUUCCUCCUCCUCUGCGGCAUUUUUAGAAAUGCAGGAGGCGCUGUUUGGCCAGGUCGAGAGCAGGGAGGAAAGGGAGGAGCUGGAGGCGGGCGUGCUACAAUUCGGAUUAAACUUCGUAAACCGAAAUAAAUAAAAAACAUUUAAAGUAUGA